AUGAACGCUGGCGGCGUGCCUAAUCCAUGCAAGUCGAGCGAACAGACGAGGAGCUUGCUCCUCUGACGUUAGCGGCGGACGGGUGAGUAACACGUGGAUAACCUACCUAUAAGACUGGGAUAACUUCGGGAAACCGGAGCUAAUACCGGAUAAUAUAUUGAACCGCAUGGUUCAAUAGUGAAAGACGGUUUUGCUGUCACUUAUAGAUGGAUCCGCGCCGCAUUAGCUAGUUGGUAAGGUAACGGCUUACCAAGGCAACGAUGCGUAGCCGACCUGAGAGGGUGAUCGGCCACACUGGAACUGAGACACGGUCCAGACUCCUACGGGAGGCAGCAGUAGGGAAUCUUCCGCAAUGGGCGAAAGCCUGACGGAGCAACGCCGCGUGAGUGAUGAAGGUCUUCGGAUCGUAAAACUCUGUUAUUAGGGAAGAACAAAUGUGUAAGUAACUAUGCACGUCUUGACGGUACCUAAUCAGAAAGCCACAGCUAACUACGUG
Molecule: ribosomal RNA, 496 nt
Filed under: uncultured bacterium
Lineage: Bacteria
Description: partial 16S ribosomal RNA
Rfam family: Bacterial small subunit ribosomal RNA
Source: RNAcentral